This is an RNA transcript of Selaginella moellendorffii, 3602 nucleotides long. It is a transcript of the gene named inositol hexakisphosphate and diphosphoinositol-pentakisphosphate kinase VIP1, with no coding region annotated. NCBI's taxonomy places the organism in Eukaryota, Viridiplantae, Streptophyta, Lycopodiopsida, Selaginellales, Selaginellaceae. The record is from RefSeq and is a predicted model, not a curated record. The transcript is spliced from 31 exons.
CGGCGAUCGAUUGGAAUGGUGGACGAUGGCGCCAGGGCCAGCGGCUCCAGGCGCGGUGUCUUCGAUUCGGAUGACUACGACACUGACAAUGGGAGCGAUGGAUCCUUGGGAAGCAGCGAUUGCAAAGGCAGCGAUGCCAGCUUCGAUGUCUUCUCCAAGAUUAUCAUCGGCGUCUGUGUCAUGGAGAAGAAGGCAUUGUCUCCUCCGAUGACGGAAAUCUUGAAUCGUCUACGCUCUUUUGGAGAGUUUGAGAUCAUCAACUUCGGAGAUAAAGUCAUUCUCGAGGAGCCCGUGGAAGAAUGGCCCGUGUGUGAUUGCCUUAUCGCAUUUUAUUCGUCUGGUUUUCCCUUGCAAAAGGCAGAAGCAUACGCGCAAUUGAGAAAGCCUUUUCUUGUUAAUGAAUUGGAACCCCAGCAUCUUUUGCAUGACAGGCGCAAAGUUUAUUCGCGGCUGGAAGAAUAUGGGAUAACCAUUCCAAACUAUGCUUUGGUGAAUAGAGAGUUUCCAAACCAGGAACUGGAAUAUUUCUUGGAGGAAGAGGAUUACAUCGAAGUGAAUGGCAAAAGAAUUUUUAAGCCAUUUGUUGAAAAGCCUGUGAAUGGAGAUAAUCACAGCGUCAUGAUCUACUAUCCUAGCGCUGCUGGCGGUGGAAUGAAAGAGCUUUUCCGCAAGAUUGGAAAUCGUUCAAGUGAGUUUCAUCCCGAGAUAAGACGAGUUCGAAGAGAAGGCUCUUAUAUCUAUGAGGAGUUUAUGCCAACUGGGGGAACAGAUGUCAAGGUAUACACUGUUGGACCAGAAUAUGCUCAUGCUGAGGCACGAAAAUCACCUGUUGUUGACGGGGUUGUUUUGAGAAGUCCCGAUGGAAAAGAGAUACGAUACCCAGUACUACUGACGCCAGCCGAGAAGCAGAUGGCCCGAGAAGUCUGUGUGUCUUUUGGCCAAGCAGUGUGUGGUUUUGACCUCUUGCGAUCUCAAGGGAGGUCUUAUGUUUGCGAUGUCAAUGGAUGGAGUUUUGUAAAAAACUCGUACAAGUACUACGAUGACGCUGCAUGUGUUUUAAGAACCAUGUUUUUGGAGGCUAAGGCACCACACCUUUCAAAGAUUCCGCCCUGCCUCUCCUGGAGCGAACCCAGGCCACUUGAAUUACCACGACAGGGAAGUAGCGUGAUGUCCGGUACUUUUGGACAAUCCGAGGAGUUGCGCUGUGUCAUAGCCGUCUUACGCCAUGGUGAUCGGACCCCCAAGCAGAAAGUAAAAAUGAAAGUCACGCAAGAUAGGCUACUGAACUUAAUGCUAAAAUAUAACGGCGGAAGACCAAGAGCGGAGGCAAAGCUGAAAAGCGCUGUUCAAUUGCAAGAUCUUCUGGAUGCUACAAGAAUGCUUGUACCAAGAGCAAGAUCUGGAAAGGAAAGCGACAGUGAGGCUGAGGACCUUGAACAUGCAGAAAAAUUGCGACAUGUCAAGGCAGUUUUGGAAGAGGGUGGCCAUUUUUCUGGGAUUUACCGGAAAGUGCAACUUAAGCCUCAAAAGUGGCAGGAAGCCACAGAUGGUGAAGAGGAAAGACCAACUGAGGCGCUUAUGGUUCUGAAGUACGGUGGUGUUCUUACACACGCCGGAAGGAAACAGGCCGAAGAGCUUGGACGUUCUUUUCGGAACACUAUGUAUCCAGGGGAGGGAACUGGAUUGCUUCGUCUGCAUAGCACUUAUCGUCACGAUUUAAAGAUCUAUAGCUCGGAUGAAGGGCGGGUGCAGAUGUCAUCUGCAGCCUUUGCAAAAGGUCUUCUUGAUUUAGAGGGCCCCCUGACGCCUAUCCUGGUUUCGCUUGUAAGCAAAGAUUCACCAAUGCUUGAUGGACUAGAUACAGCCAGUAUCGAAAUGGAGGAGGCGAAGGCCAAGCUGUACGAAAUCAUGAUGGCUGGCCAAUCAUGUUGCGAAUGCACAAAUGAGCCUUGGAUGGUAGAUGGCGCUGGACUACCUCCCAACGCUCUGGAGUUGAUGAAGGAAAUGGUACAUCUGACAAAGAAAAUUACCGCACAAGUCAAGCUCCUCUGCAAGGCGGAAGAGGAGCGGCUGGCCGAUGGUUUAAAUGAAGAAAUACCUCCAUACGAUCAAGCCAGGGCUUUGGGGAAGACGAACAUGGAUGUGGACCGAAUUUCUGCCGGUUUGCCUUGCGGCAGUGAAGGCUUUCUUCUUAUGUAUGCACGUUGGAAGAAACUCGAGCGUGACAUAUAUAAUGAGCGUAAAGAGCGCUACGACAUAAGCAAGGUUCCGGAUGUGUACGAUUCUUCCAAGUACGAUCUUCUACACAAUGCUCAUCUAAAACUGGAUGGUCUCGAAGACCUUUACACGGUGGCAAAGGCACUAGCAGAUGGAGUCAUACCGAAUGAAUAUGGUAUAAACCCAAAGCACAAACUGAAAAUUGGAUCGAAGAUUUGCCGUCGAUUGCUGGGGAAGAUUUUGAUAGAUCUGAGGAACACCAGAGAAGAGGCUAUCAGUGUUGCAGAGUUGAAAAACGAAGAAGUUAAAAUAAAUCCAGAUUCUGUUGGCCCACCCAAGGGGAAACAUGAGGAGGACAAUAAGUCUCAAAAAUCUAGUGUGAAGAGUGAUUCUCGGAGGUCCAGUUUGACGAGUGAGAAGUCUAAUACAGACGAUCACGACGACAAAGAAACGCAAUAUCGCCUCGAUCCAAAAUACGCAAAUGUUAAAACACCUGAAAGGCACGUCCGCACUCGGCUGUACUUUACUUCGGAAUCCCAUAUACACUCGCUGAUAAACGUGCUACGUUACUGCCAUCUCGACGAUUCGUUGGAAGGAGAACCUCCACUUGUAUCAACUGAGGCGCUGGAGGAGAUUUUCGAGACAAAAGAGCUUGACUACUUGACUCACGUCGUCCUACGGCUUUACGAAAACACGGAGGUAGCGCUGGAAAGUCCUCGGCGAUUUAGAAUCGAGAUUAUGUUCAGCUGUGGUGCUGCUUUGAGUCCUUUGGAGGCAUCCCCACGGUUUCGGGAUCACACACUCCCGGUGCUGUCGCCCUCAACACUCCAGGAAGAGGGAGCUUUCCUGUCCUUGAACAGGCUGGAGAAGAUGAUCCGCGCGUUUGCCAUGCCGGCGGAGGACUUCCCUCCGGCAACAACGCCGCAAGGAUUCUCGGGGCUCUUCGUCAAAGGAGGUGGUGUUCUCGAGCGCCUUGCUAGCCUGUGGCCGUUUAAUAAGAACGCCAACCUGAAAGCCUGAGAUAUGAUUGACAAGCUCUUCCACCGUUCCGAUGACUUGACAACAUCAAAGUAAAGUUUUGACAACGAGGAACAAACAGUAAGUCUGGUCGGUAAGAGGCUGAUUUGCGAGUGACGGUCGAGGAUGGUCUGGUUUUCUCUUUACCUUCCGACUAAUCUAUAGUUUUUGUAGGCUUAGAUAUCAUCUAAGUCCUUGAACUGGUGCCAAAAUUUUCCCAACUGGCUAGUUCGCUCAAGAGGAGGGAAAUUUAUGGCAGCAAGGUCUAACUUUCCACCCAAGUGCUUACACUUCAAGCGCUAGAAAUUUUGUAAAUGUAAAGUGCGGUUUAAGUUCUUUCGAAUAUAACCACCUCUUGCUUAAGUUUA